Molecule: long non-coding RNA, 1047 nt
Filed under: Polistes fuscatus (common paper wasp)
Lineage: Eukaryota; Metazoa; Arthropoda; Insecta; Hymenoptera; Vespidae
Description: uncharacterized LOC122521127
Source: RNAcentral
UCUUCCGACUCAAAAGGUUGCCGACUCCUGACCUAGGUUACUAUCCAACUUCCUGGAAAGUAGCUGUUAUUACCUUUAUUCACAAGCCAAGGAAACCACCACACGAAGACACGUCUAAUCUAGCUGUCACAAGAUUUUGAACAAAAAAAUACUAAUUAACAGUAUUCCUGGAUAUAAAGCAAGCUUUUGAUAAAGUCUGGCACACCGGACUGUUAUAUAAGUUUAAAAAAACACUGUCAUAUCCUUUUUACCUGAUCCUUAAAUCGUGCAUCAACGACAGAAAAUUUAUAGCGAAAUAUCAAAGUCAAUUGACCAUAACCUAUCUAAUUUUAUCCAGUAUUCCAUAAGACGAUACAGCCCUGUUAGCGUUGGACUACGCUACGUCAUAUGCAAAUAAUAAAAAAUUGAUACCAGAAAUGGCGUAUAAAUAUCAACGAAAGUAAAUCAGCGCAUAUAACCUUCACACUGCGUAAGCGCACAUGUCCUCCAAUGAUCAUAAAUGGAGCAGUUAUACCAACCAAAUAUUUGGUCACAUAUUUAAGUAUGAUUCUGGAUAAAAGGCUGACAUGGAAACAACACAUCCAAUCCAAAACAACAUUCACGCGAGAUGCAUCACUAUGGUGCAAAUGAGCAGCAUCCCAUUGGAAUAUAUUAUAUAACGACGGAUUUUCUUCCUUUUCAAAGAUGUGGAAUGAAAUCUUCGAUGGAUCUUCAUUGGAUCUUCGAUUGAUCUUCGUUGGAUCUUCGUUGGAUCUUCCAUUAAUCUUCGAUGGAUCUUCGAUGGAUUCCGACGAAUCUUCGAUGGAUCUUCUUCAAUAGCAAAUCAAAGAACUCUACGAUUGUCAGACUGCAAUACUUGCUACGAAGUAGGAGUAUUUUGGUGACAUCGCAGAACUUUUAAAGCUAACUGUUCAUAUUUCAUAUAUGCAUCAUUUUAAUUUUAAAAUGCGUCUUAUAUGUAAUAUAACGGUUAGCAAGUAGUGAGUCAAAAAAUUUAAAGUCCCUACGGUGCUUAAUUAUGCUAAGAAUGAAAAGUCCUAAUCGUUA